RNAcentral lists this ribosomal RNA (2905 nucleotides) under Salmonella enterica subsp. enterica. Its description in RNAcentral is "23S ribosomal RNA". It matches the Rfam family "Bacterial large subunit ribosomal RNA". RNAcentral also lists the same sequence under 1 other name. The record is from RNAcentral. Lineage: Bacteria; Pseudomonadati; Pseudomonadota; Gammaproteobacteria; Enterobacterales; Enterobacteriaceae.
GGUUAAGCGACUAAGCGUACACGGUGGAUGCCCUGGCAGUCAGAGGCGAUGAAGGGCGUGCUAAUCUGCGAUAAGCGCCGGUAAGGUGAUAUGAACCGUUAUAACCGGCGAUACCCGAAUGGGGAAACCCAGUGUGAUUCGUCACACUAUCAUUACGUGAAUACAUAGCGUAAUGAAGCGAACCGGGGGAACUGAAACAUCUAAGUACCCCGAGGAAAAGAAAUCAACCGAGAUUCCCCCAGUAGCGGCGAGCGAACGGGGAGGAGCCCAGAGCCUGAAUCAGCAUGUGUGUUAGUGGAAGCGUCUGGAAAGGCGCGCGAUACAGGGUGACAGCCCCGUACACAAAAGCGCAUGUGUUGUGAGCUCGAUGAGUAGGGCGGGACACGUGGUAUCCUGUCUGAAUAUGGGGGGACCAUCCUCCAAGGCUAAAUACUCCUGACUGACCGAUAGUGAACCAGUACCGUGAGGGAAAGGCGAAAAGAACCCCGGCGAGGGGAGUGAAAAAGAACCUGAAACCGUGUACGUACAAGCAGUGGGAGCACCCUUUGGGGUGUGACUGCGUACCUUUUGUAUAAUGGGUCAGCGACUUAUAUUCUGUAGCAAGGUUAACCGAAUAGGGGAGCCGGAGGGAAACCGAGUCUUAAUUGGGCGUUAAGUUGCAGGGUAUAGACCCGAAACCCGGUGAUCUAGCCAUGGGCAGGUUGAAGGUUGGGUAACACUAACUGGAGGACCGAACCGACUAAUGUUGAAAAAUUAGCGGAUGACCUGUGGCUGGGGGUGAAAGGCCAAUCAAACCGGGAGAUAGCUGGUUCUCCCCGAAAGCUAUUUAGGUAGCGCCUCGUGAACUCAUCUCCGGGGGUAGAGCACUGUUUCGGCUAGGGGGCCAUCCCGGCUUACCAACCCGAUGCAAACUGCGAAUACCGGAGAAUGUUAUCACGGGAGACACACGGCGGGUGCUAACGUCCGUCGUGAAGAGGGAAACAACCCAGACCGCCAGCUAAGGUCCCAAAGUCAUAGUUAAGUGGGAAACGAUGUGGGAAGGCCCAGACAGCCAGGAUGUUGGCUUAGAAGCAGCCAUCAUUUAAAGAAAGCGUAAUAGCUCACUGGUCGAGUCGGCCUGCGCGGAAGAUGUAACGGGGCUAAACUAUGCACCGAAGCUGCGGCAGCGACACUAUGUGUUGUUGGGUAGGGGAGCGUUCUGUAAGCCUGUGAAGGUGUGUCGUGAGGCAUGCUGGAGGUAUCAGAAGUGCGAAUGCUGACAUAAGUAACGAUAAAGCGGGUGAAAAGCCCGCUCGCCGGAAGACCAAGGGUUCCUGUCCAACGUUAAUCGGGGCAGGGUGAGUCGACCCCUAAGGCGAGGCCGAAAGGCGUAGUCGAUGGGAAACGGGUUAAUAUUCCCGUACUUGGUGUUACUGCGAAGGGGGGACGGAGAAGGCUAUGUUGGCCGGGCGACGGUUGUCCCGGUUUAAGCGUGUAGGUGUGUGUUCCAGGUAAAUCCGGUUCACUUUAACACUGAGGCGUGACGACGAGGCACUACGGUGCUGAAGCAACAAAUGCCCUGCUUCCAGGAAAAGCCUCUAAGCAUCAGGUAACAUCAAAUCGUACCCCAAACCGACACAGGUGGUCAGGUAGAGAAUACCAAGGCGCUUGAGAGAACUCGGGUGAAGGAACUAGGCAAAAUGGUGCCGUAACUUCGGGAGAAGGCACGCUGACACGUAGGUGAAGUGAUUUACUCAUGGAGCUGAAGUCAGUCGAAGAUACCAGCUGGCUGCAACUGUUUAUUAAAAACACAGCACUGUGCAAACACGAAAGUGGACGUAUACGGUGUGACGCCUGCCCGGUGCCGGAAGGUUAAUUGAUGGGGUCAGCGCAAGCGAAGCUCCUGAUCGAAGCCCCGGUAAACGGCGGCCGUAACUAUAACGGUCCUAAGGUAGCGAAAUUCCUUGUCGGGUAAGUUCCGACCUGCACGAAUGGCGUAAUGAUGGCCAGGCUGUCUCCACCCGAGACUCAGUGAAAUUGAACUCGCUGUGAAGAUGCAGUGUACCCGCGGCAAGACGGAAAGACCCCGUGAACCUUUACUAUAGCUUGACACUGAACAUUGAGCCUUGAUGUGUAGGAUAGGUGGGAGGCUUUGAAGCGUGGACGCCAGUCUGCGUGGAGCCGACCUUGAAAUACCACCCUUUAAUGUUUGAUGUUCUAACGUGGACCCGUGAUCCGGGUUGCGGACAGUGUCUGGUGGGUAGUUUGACUGGGGCGGUCUCCUCCUAAAGAGUAACGGAGGAGCACGAAGGUUGGCUAAUCCUGGUCGGACAUCAGGAGGUUAGUGCAAUGGCAUAAGCCAGCUUGACUGCGAGCGUGACGGCGCGAGCAGGUGCGAAAGCAGGUCAUAGUGAUCCGGUGGUUCUGAAUGGAAGGGCCAUCGCUCAACGGAUAAAAGGUACUCCGGGGAUAACAGGCUGAUACCGCCCAAGAGUUCAUAUCGACGGCGGUGUUUGGCACCUCGAUGUCGGCUCAUCACAUCCUGGGGCUGAAGUAGGUCCCAAGGGUAUGGCUGUUCGCCAUUUAAAGUGGUACGCGAGCUGGGUUUAGAACGUCGUGAGACAGUUCGGUCCCUAUCUGCCGUGGGCGCUGGAGAACUGAGGGGGGCUGCUCCUAGUACGAGAGGACCGGAGUGGACGCAUCACUGGUGUUCGGGUUGUCAUGCCAAUGGCACUGCCCGGUAGCUAAAUGCGGAAGAGAUAAGUGCUGAAAGCAUCUAAGCACGAAACUUGCCCCGAGAUGAGUUCUCCCUGAGACUUAAAGUCUCCUGAAGGAACGUUGAAGACGACGACGUUGAUAGGCCGGGUGUGUAAGCGCAGCGAUGCGUUGAGCUAACCGGUACUAAUGAACCGUGAGGCUUAACCUU